CUGAACAGGCGGGCCUCGAUCCCGCAAACAUUAGUUAACAGCUAACAACCCAAACCAGCGGGCUUCAAUUCG
Molecule: transfer RNA, 72 nt
Filed under: Anolis auratus (grass anole)
Lineage: Eukaryota; Metazoa; Chordata; Lepidosauria; Squamata; Anolidae
Description: tRNA-Asn
Source: RNAcentral